Molecule: long non-coding RNA, 159 nt
Organism: Periophthalmus magnuspinnatus
Lineage: Eukaryota; Metazoa; Chordata; Actinopteri; Gobiiformes; Gobiidae
Exons: 2
Source: RefSeq, a predicted model, not a curated record
GUGAGCUGACAAAACUAAAACACUUCUGACUGGACUUUCCUCCCUGACACCAUCGAAAUGGGAGCUGUUUGGAUUUUGUGUUGCUUUCUGCUCAUUCUUGGGACAGCCACCGUUGGCAGCAGUGACAAGAGUUUGAAUGAAGUCAAGCAUGAAGAGAAA